This 280-nucleotide ribosomal RNA is filed under the name Bacillus licheniformis. Its description in RNAcentral is "partial 16S ribosomal RNA". It matches the Rfam family "Bacterial small subunit ribosomal RNA", at positions 1158 to 1436 of the family's 1533-position model. Lineage: Bacteria; Bacillati; Bacillota; Bacilli; Caryophanales; Bacillaceae. The record is from RNAcentral.
ACAAACCGGAGGAAGGUGGGGAUGACGUCAAAUCAUCAUGCCCCUUACGGCCUGGGCUACACACGUGCUACAAUGGUCAGAACAAAGGGCAGCCAAGCCGCGAGGAGGAGCCAAUCCCACAAAUCCGAUCUCAGUUCGGAUCGCAGUCUGCAACUCGACUGCGUGAAGUCGGAAUCGCUAGUAAUCGCGAAUCAGCAUGUCGCGGUGAAUACGUUCCCGGGCCUUGUACACACCGCCCGUCACACCACGAGAGUGUGGUUACACCAGAAGUACGGUGGUG